RNAcentral lists this ribosomal RNA (351 nucleotides) under Staphylococcus aureus. RNAcentral describes it as "bacterial SSU rRNA". It matches the Rfam family "Bacterial small subunit ribosomal RNA", at positions 1191 to 1533 of the family's 1533-position model. The record is from RNAcentral. Lineage: Bacteria; Bacillati; Bacillota; Bacilli; Caryophanales; Staphylococcaceae.
CAUCAUGCCCCUUAUGAUUUGGGCUACACACGUGCUACAAUGGACAAUACAAAGGGCAGCGAAACCACGAGGUCAAGCAAAUCCCAUAAAGUUGUUCUCAGUUCGGAUUGUAGUCUGCAACUCGACUACAUGAAGCUGGAAUCGCUAGUAAUCGUAGAUCAGCAUGCUACGGUGAAUACGUUCCCGGGUCUUGUACACACCGCCCGUCACACCACGAGAGUUUGUAACACCCGAAGCCGGUGGAGUAACCUUUUAGGAGCUAGCCGUCGAAGGUGGGACAAAUGAUUGGGGUGAAGUCGUAACAAGGUAGCCGUAUCGGAAGGUGCGGCUGGAUCACCUCCUUUCUAAGGA